GAUUAACGCUAGCGGCAGGCCUAAUACAUGCAAGUCGAGGGGCAGCAGGGGUAGCAAUACUCGCUGGCGACCGGCGCACGGGUGCGUAACACGUAUGUAACCUUUCCUAAACUGGAGAAUAGCUUUGAGAAAUCAGAAUUAAUACUCCAUAACACUGCGAAGUGGCAUCACUUUGCAAUUAAAGCUCCGGCGGUUUAGGGCGGGCAUGCGUCCCAUUAGCUAGUUGGCGAGGUAACGGCUCACCAAGGCUACGAUGGGUAGGGGUUCUAA
Molecule: ribosomal RNA, 270 nt
Filed under: uncultured bacterium
Lineage: Bacteria
Description: partial 16S ribosomal RNA
Rfam family: Bacterial small subunit ribosomal RNA
Source: RNAcentral